Molecule: long non-coding RNA, 937 nt
Organism: Venturia canescens
Lineage: Eukaryota; Metazoa; Arthropoda; Insecta; Hymenoptera; Ichneumonidae
Exons: 3
Source: RefSeq, a predicted model, not a curated record
UUUCAGCGGUUUGAUGGGCGUUGUUAUACUGCUGAAAGAAUUCGUGGUUUAUGAUAUUCAUAACUUUUAUAUUUUUUUAAGUAAAACUUCUUUUCGUUAUGUGCGAAGUCAUGGUGGGGGAAGCCAAAUCGGCACUAGCGUACGCAGUGGUCAAUUUCGGGGUUACAAACGCUGUUUUCAAAGUUUUAGUAAGCGUAUACACGUAAAAUUGCAAUUAGGUUCCAAUUUAUAACAUAAAAUGAGCCAGCGGAGUUGCUGUGUUGUGAACUGCGAAAAAACAUCAAGAAAAAAUGAGUGUGAAUAUAAAUUUCCGACUGCUCAAUGAAAAAUAAAUCAAAGAAAUAAAUGUAUAGUCGCAGUGUGAAGGCAAAGUCUUACAUAUGCGCACGCACACGCACACACACACACAAACGCAGGCGCGCGCGCAGCAGGCAGUCAGGGUGUCUAGUAGUCAGGGAAUUCUGGAAAACCGGGAAUAGUCAUGGAAUUUCAACUUUUGGGAAAAGUCAGGGAAAGGGUGGAGAUUCCGCCAGAAACCAUUUUCAGGUUGUUGGAAAUAUGACAAACGAUGCGGCUGUAGCUGGCACGUGAUUAUAGUUGACAGAUACGGAAGACAGAUGUCGCGAUCAGUAUUUUCGAUCAUCGCCGAUUCGAUAACAAGAUUCUCGAUCGACAGAAUUUGAAUUUUCGAAUGCCGGGCCUAAACUCGAAGGAAGUCGAGCGAUGUAUUGAUAUUUGAUCCGAUAAUACUUAAUAAGGAAUAAACAUUUUUUUUUAUUUAUUUUUUAUUUGUGAAACGAUCUUAAUGUUUUUAGCCAAAUAAAGUUCGAUGGCCGAUAGUUUCCGAUGAAUUAUAUGCUGCAGAAAACAAUGAAAACAACAAUAAUGAAUAUAUAAAUGUAAAUCGAAUAUUUUAUUCAAUAAAGUUAUUAUCGAA